Non-coding RNA from Paramuricea clavata, 2341 nucleotides. NCBI's taxonomy places the organism in Eukaryota, Metazoa, Cnidaria, Anthozoa, Malacalcyonacea, Plexauridae. The record is from the annotation of a GenBank genome assembly.
UUUUGUUGCUUUUAGAACAACUAUCAAAGGAUCAAUUGUUUUUCCCAACAUUCAUCACACAAGAUCCACCGAACAUUUAUCAUUGGUUAAUGGAAUGUUUGAAAGGAAAUAAGGUAAUGAGUGAAACUUAUGUGCAGAUUAGGGACCGGUCAUCAUUUAUAAAUGAGGGGAGGUUUCUCUGAUCCAACCAUUAAAAAGUCCCAAAAAAUUUUACUCAAUCUCAAAUAUCAAUGAAAAGAUAAAUACCCACCCCUGACCAAAAACUGUACAAAAGGAUAUCAUUCAGUUGUCACACAUGUCCUUUACCACUGCUGUGACACGAGUUUGAUAACUGCAGUCUAAAGUUUCAUAUUGUCUGCGCAUGUAGUUUCGUUGGAGACACCAUUUGUCUCCUGACAAAUCGGAACGUGCAUGGUCAAGAUAGUGACUCUGACUGAUUCACAUAUUGUAUUGACAUAUGACUGUUGACAUUGUUUUUUAGUCUUCAGUAUUUGAGUGACUCGUGCUUUGGCAAUGACAAUAAAUUUUUAUUACCCAACCCUUGAGUUGUUUUGUUUUUCAUUUACCCAACCUUUUACUUACUCAAAAUUUUGUUUACCCAACCCUUUUCUCUUCGGUGCCACCCCCCACCAUAAAUAAUGACCGGUCUCUUACCCUCUUAGAACAAAUUUAAACUUUUAGACAUUGCAACAUUGAAAGUUUUUAUUCUUUUUAGUUAAUUUUGAGAUUUUAUGACAUUUAAUAAAUUAAUUUGUUUAUGGUCGUUUUUAGGUUGACAAGUUUCCCAUAAUUCCAAACGUGUGUCAGCAAAUAUACAGAAUAAUAAUGGUAAGUUUGUUUUUGUGAAACAAAACUUGAUGAAAUGUAUACCAAUAUUAGCAUGGGUUGUCUCAAAAUUUCGACACUUUUCCCUAUUUGAAUAACCCACUAAAAAUCGUUGUAUCCACCCGUGAAUUUCGUUGUUUUGCAAGAAUUGUUUCGUUGUUUUGCAAGAAUUGAACUGUUUUGCAAGAAUUGUUGAAUUUUGAACACAUGUCGUCCUUGUUGUAUCUGCGCGUACGCGCAGUUUACAAUGUUAUUCUGCGAGUACGAAUCUCUCUCCUUCGCAGAGCCUCCUUAAACAUUUUCAUGUAACUUACUUACAUGAAGUUUUCGCACAGUGUAAAACGAGCUGACGGGGAGUGUGGAGGAGAGACAGCAAUAAUAUUUUCUAGCCAAUUAUUAUUUGCACUUCACAACUUUUGGCUAAAACUGUCGCAUGCAACCUGCUUACAACUUGAGUUGUACUGUGUAAAUCAAGCACACAACUCACCUACGUUGUCUUUAGUCACUAGAAAGAAACACUGAUCUUUGAAUAACUGGAUAUGCAUAAUAGCCAUAUUGAAUUUAAGCGCGUCGGAGCCUGGGACCUACAUUUAAUAUACCAACUUUUCCUUCGACUAAGUGCACCUUUUCCACUGAAAACCUCAGUUACAGGGCUGGUGAUUUUCAAAUUAAUUAUCGUGAUUAUUUUCCGAAAUCAGUAUUUUGAUGCAUGACAAGAUAUUUAUGUAGUCGCCAUGUCUAAAACACGGCCGCGAGCGAAAUACCAUUUAAUGGUUUAAGGUUUCAACAAAAGUUGCCCAUUGCGUGGAAUCAGGGCCGCCGAGAGGGGGGCAGGGGCCCGAGUUGCUGGGGGGCCCUGAAAAAUUUUUGUUGAGCCCCAGCCUUUUUGUGUGUUAAAUAUUUCCGCGCAAAGGACAAGAUAUCUGUUCUCUUGGGCUAAGUACCAAAUUUUGGCAUAAAAAAAUGAGAUAAACUCCCUCGAAAGCAAUUGCAACGUACUCGUCCGGAAAAAUUUUGUACUCCGGAAAAAAAUUUUUACCCCUAAAAUGGUACACUGACCGAAAAUUUUUUGGCGACGGGGGGGACGUUGUUGUCCGGAAAAAAAUUUUUCCGGGAAAAAAUUUUUUAGAUAGGAGCCCCUAAAAAAAAUUUGCCCCGGGCCCCCGCCAACCUCUCGGCGGCCCUGCGUGGAAUUUGUGAUCGUAUCAGGAAAUGUUACAAAUAGUGCUAGUGGUCACAAUCAUUAUCAAUCAUGUAUAUGAUAUACUUUUUCGCUUAAACGAUCUGAAGUAUAUAAAAUGCCGAAAAUAUUAGAUAGUACCAGUUUAGAAAUGACAGCCUUUUAGUUUUACAUUAUAAAUUAUUACGACAUUAGCUAUAUAUUUAUAGUAACCACCGUCAUUCUUAAUUUUAUGACAGAUCUCAUAACAACUAAAUCCAGUUUCGGAGGUAAAUGCGAUACAUUAUUACAAAGAUAAAAUAUCAUAUAAACUUUAAAAAGAUGUUUUUGACCGAG